RNAcentral lists this unclassified non-coding RNA (331 nucleotides) under soil metagenome. RNAcentral describes it as "partial contains 5.8S ribosomal RNA, internal transcribed spacer 2, and large subunit ribosomal RNA". The stretch from base 1 to 120 matches the Rfam family "5.8S ribosomal RNA", at positions 35 to 154 of the family's 154-position model. The record is from RNAcentral.
GAUGAAGAACGUAGCGAAAUGCGAUAAGUAGUGUGAAUUGCAGAAUUCAGUGAAUCAUCGAAUCUUUGAACGCACAUUGCGCCCUUUGGUAUUCCUUAGGGCAUGCCUGUUCGAGCGUCAUUUAAACCUUCAAGCUCAGCUUGGUGUUGGGUGACUGUCCGCUUCACCGCGGACUCGCCUCAAAAUUAUUGGCGGCCGGUACAUUGGCUCUCGAGCGCAGCAGAAACGCGUAACUCGAGGUCCUCGUGCUGGCUCCCAGAAGCUAUCUUCACAAUUUUGACCUCGGAUCAGGUAGGGAUACCCGCUGAACUUAAGCAUAUCAAUAAGCGGA